AAGUAUAACUCCAACUUCCAGGCUCAGGACCCUCAUCCCUCACCUCCUCCUGCCAAGAUCACCCCAAGCAGAAACCAGGAUCAUAACAAACUCUACCUCACGGGGCUGACCCGAAGGGAUGAUGCAUAGCAGAACACAUGGCUCAGCUGGCCAGCCGGCAGGUCUUAGCAGGUCAUAGUGGCGGAAUGACCAGCCCACAAGUCUUAGCAGGUCGCAAUGGUGGAUGCAGGAUGUUUCUGCCUGACCAGCCUCCAUUCUCACUUCCGAACAGUUUCUGCCUGGAUAUGACAAAUGUCGACCUGGAGCUGUUGGGGCCAUCUGGGCAGAAAGGCUGUCCGGGAAUGAAGUCAAAGAGAUGGAAAAAGAGAAAAAGAGGCCGGCGUCUGGGGUCAUGGUUUGAGCCCCCGAAUCCAACUGUACCUGAAGCCCUGUCUGUUUCAGAAACAGAAGGCAAUAAAUUCAGCCUUUGCCUUAAGCCCGUCAAGCCAGUCUGGGGUGCCUCUUUUUUUUAAUCAACCAAACAAAUACUGGUUAAUAAAACUCCCUGCUCAAAAGCUCCUGGCGGCUCCUUCAUGCCUGCAGGGAGAGGCCAGCACCCUGGGCUCUGGGCCCCACUUGCCUUCCUUUUUGUCCUGAACUCUGGCCCUCAUCCCUCCCAGACAGGUAUCACCCAAGACUGCUGUUUCCCAAACACACCAUGAAGACUCGACCUACAGUUUCUACCCAAACUCUCCUCCACUCCCCACUUGAGCAGUGCCUGCUCACUAGAGCUUGCCUCCUCCUGGAAGCCUCCCCACACUUCCUCCACCACUCUGAGUGUCAGUGGCAUCUACCUCCAGCUUCCCAUCACUCUGCUUAUUUCCCCAGAGUGAAAUUCACUUUUUUUUUUCUUUUUCCUCUUCAAAAAAACUUUGUCUCACUGUAUCAUUUAAGAAAUGAACAUCCUGGAUUGACUUGGGAUUUGACAAAUUCAAACUUGGUUUUAACACACCAUGUGCAUUUCCUGAGCCCCAGGCGUACCAGCAGACACAGGGCUGAAAGACCCAGGGCCUACCCGCAGGGGCUUAGAGGCUGAACCAAACCGUUUCCCAUUUGGCUCAAGACAAUGGAUGCAAAAAUGACCAUUUUUAAAAUUUUAAAUUCAAAUUUAUUUUACUUGGGGAUAAUCAUCACUGACACUCACUGAGCCAUUGCUAGGUCAUUGUCUAUGGGCAGGUCCAUGCAUAAUGUUAUUUAAUCCUCACUCUGGGAAAUGUUAUCCUCACUUACAGAGGAGGUCACUGAAGCUCAGAGAAGUAAAGGGAGCUGCCCAGGGGGUUACAGCAACUGUAGGGAGCUGACCCUAUAUUCUAGCCCUUGUUAUCCUCCCUGGCCUUUCUCAACUGUGUGCGAAUACACUGGGGCCAGCUUCGAAGUCUUUUUAACAUUCACUGUGUAAACUCGGCACCAAGCUAGCUUCCCCUGGUUGCUCACAGGCAGGUGGCUGUCCACACCCACUUCUGUGUGGGGGCCUCUGGCGUCACAUUUCACACCCCUGUUCUGUAGGCAUCGGGUUUCAGAUUUGCUGUAUUUGCUUCCGCUGCCACUACCGGUAGAUCAGAAGCUGGGGAGGUGUUUCAACACAUGAUUGUUUUGAAUAUGGUGACUUCCCCAUCUAUCCCUGCCAUGGGUAACAUCCCAGCAGCCUCUUGAUAGCAGAACAGAGGCCAUUGAGCCUGGCCAAUGAGCUUGCUGCUGGGGCUACCUUUCACCCACAUGCAGGCUUACUUGCCUGCACCCCCGGCAUGGCCCAAGAACCAGUUCUCUGAGUUCAGCCAGGACUUCCAAGAACCUAGCACAGCCAGGUCAGCUCCACUGUGUAUGAGUCCUGAACCCGACCCUAGGCCCCUGCUCCCUCAGUUGCCAUUUGCCAGGCUACCUCCUCCAUUGCUCCUAAAAUCUAGCUCAUCUGCCACCUCCUCCAGGAAGCCUUUGGGGAACUCCUCCAGAUAAAAACUCCAGUGUCCCUCCUCUGGGCUCCCACAGGCCUCAGAGCUCACCCCCUUCUCAGCCCUGAGUGCCAUGUGUAGUCAUUUCCUCUUUUCUAGUCCCUUCUCCCACAGAGCACUGUGAACAUCCCCAAGACAGAAACGAUGUGUUGCUCACCACAGCCUGGGCCCUACAGCUGGCCUGUCACAGGGCUGGUGACGACCGAAUGAAAGGAAAUGCCUAAUGUUUUCUGAGCACUUGCUACAUGCCGGGCACAGAGCCAGGGAUGCCCACAUGGAGAGGGCCUGCCUCACAGUGAAGACAGUAGGAAGGAAAGCAGAGGUAAGAGUUGAAAAGUCCAA
RNAcentral lists this long non-coding RNA (2330 nucleotides) under Homo sapiens (human). Its description in RNAcentral is "non-protein coding lnc-CAND2-2:2". Lineage: Eukaryota; Metazoa; Chordata; Mammalia; Primates; Hominidae. The record is from RNAcentral.